Molecule: ribosomal RNA, 254 nt
Filed under: uncultured bacterium
Lineage: Bacteria
Description: partial 16S ribosomal RNA
Rfam family: Bacterial small subunit ribosomal RNA
Source: RNAcentral
UACGGAGGGUGCAAGCGUUGUCCGGAUUUAUUGGGUUUAAAGGGUGCGUAGGCGGCCCUGUAAGUCAGUGGUGAAAUACUGCAGCUUAACUGUAGCAUUGCCAUUGAUACUGUAGGGCUUGAGUACAGAUGAGGUAGGCGGAAUUGAUGGUGUAGCGGUGAAAUGCAUAGAUACCAUCAAGAACACCGAUUGCGAAGGCAGCUUACUAAGCUGUAACUGACGCUGAGGCACGAAAAGCGUGGGGAGCGAACAGG